This 1196-nucleotide long non-coding RNA is filed under the name Numida meleagris (helmeted guineafowl). RNAcentral describes it as "lncRNA (ENSNMEG00000012794.1)". The record is from RNAcentral. Lineage: Eukaryota; Metazoa; Chordata; Aves; Galliformes; Numididae.
UUCUGGGUGAGUUGCACCAUCAGGGCCAGCUCCGGUGUGAUGCUCUGCAGGGACUGGCGGUGCUGAAGGCGGAGGUUUGUUUGCCUUCCCACAGAUCCUGCACAUUAGGAGCUCCUGACACCCACCGGCAGGUGAUGAAUUAGUGCAGCACAGCUGGAGCUGCUUGAGAGCUGCAGAUGCAAAUCCCAGAGCUGUUCCCACAUGUACCAGAGGUAGUGUGGCCAGUUUUGGGCUUCCCAUAUAAAAGACACAUCACAGUGCUAGAGUGAGGCUGAGAAAAAAUGGUUUUUUGAGGAGGCAAAGUGGCCAUGUCAUUGAUGUCUAUGUUUCCUAAAAGGAGGAUGUGCAGAAGACAGAGCCAGACUGUCCUUGGAGAUGCACAGAGACAGGAUGAGAGGCCACAUGCACAAAUGGCAGCAUGGAAAUUCUCAAUAGGUAAUGAAAAAUGCCCACCCUGAGAAUGGACAAAUGCCAGACCGGGAACCCAGAAUGGCUGUGAGACGUCCAGUGUUGGAGAUGCUCAAAACUCAGCUGGACAUGGCAGCCUGGUAAGAUGGGCCUGCUUGGACUGGAGGCCAUGCUUUUAAUUGCAGCUGGUGUGACCUGUGGGUGACAGUGGGGUGACGCUGUCCAAGUUCCAAGCAGAAGCCCAGUCCAUCCCUGGUAAAUUCUGCCAGCAUACAGCCAACUGCCUGGAAGGCAAUUGCACUGCCUAUGGAUGCGGUGAUACAGCUGAGGUCACCCAAAGUCUGUGUCAGAGAAAGGAACCGAGCCCGGGGCUCUCGCAGCAGGGACCGAACAUCACAGCGUGGGCUGUGGAUGCACUUCAUGGAAAAGGAUUUAAUGGUUGAAAAAGGGCCCGGUGUAAAUCCUGCCCUGUUUCUGCCAGUGCUGAGAUCAGCAGUGUUUCUGGCCCACUGCAGCAAAGCAGUCCCCUGGAGCCUUCCCAGAGGGGGAGAAGAAGCCAUGGGGCACCUGGAGGCUGCUGUCUGUCUGUCUGCAGGAGUGGGGAAAGCAGCAGGACCUCUUGCUUCCAAAAACCUGGCAAAUGUGUCUUUGAGGCUCUGAGAAGUUCUUUCAGAGGGACGAGUAGCUGGGUCAGAGCUCUGUGUCUGUGCCAGUCCAAAGUCUCUGCAGGUGAUCCAAGUGGGAAUGGGAGGCAGACGUCCAAAAUAAAGGGGGAGUGAGCGGUCCCA